CAUCAGGAAUCAUGUCGCAGCGAACUUAAUUUCAAGGUCCUUCAAUAGAACCACAAAUUGCACGUUUAGUGAAAUUGCUAGCACAGCAAUGCAGAGGCUAAUGUACGUCAGCGCAACGAUCUAUUAAUCGUUGUUGUGGUACUCCAAUCCUCCAAACACUAUGCAGCUCGUUACCCGGGCAUGUUGAUGGGUUUCCUCUUGCACGCUUCCACUGUUAUUACCUUACUGGGGGUAUAUGUAAGUCAUGUGGUGUGCAUCCAUUGCUACCGU
RNAcentral lists this long non-coding RNA (270 nucleotides) under Setaria viridis. RNAcentral's name for it is "long non-coding RNA (SVIR_LNC010219)". The record is from RNAcentral. Lineage: Eukaryota; Viridiplantae; Streptophyta; Magnoliopsida; Poales; Poaceae.